RNAcentral lists this long non-coding RNA (1092 nucleotides) under Vigna radiata. Its description in RNAcentral is "long non-coding RNA (VRAD_LNC005198)". Lineage: Eukaryota; Viridiplantae; Streptophyta; Magnoliopsida; Fabales; Fabaceae. The record is from RNAcentral.
UUUGCGGUGCGGCGGCUUCUGUUCUCAAGCAGUUUUGUAGCAACAGGGCUUGUGAUUGGAGGUUUUGAUUUAGGGCUUUGCAAAAACUCUUCUUCUCUCCUAAAAACACUUUUUCUGGUUUUGAUGGUUUUGUUGUAGGGGAAGCAACAUGGCCGUUCAAAAUGUCAACGUUGGGGUUUUGUUGAAAUUGGGUUUCUGAAUUUAGGAAAUCUUGAGUCUCUAUUUCGAUCUCGGGUUGUUGGGAUUCUAUGUUUCNCUGCAGGUUAGGGCUCGAAUUGGAGCUCCUGUUUCUCUCAUUUCACACUGGUCGAGCCGUGAAGAGGACCACUUUGAGGAUUGCUACGUUGGAAAUUUUCCUAUUCUUUUGAUUCAAUUUUGUUAUUUGGGGGUUUAGCUGAUAAUUUCUUAUUUGGGGAAAUUCUUGGUCAGGAAUUUUGUUCUUGGGUGCUUGUGUUCUUGUUCAUGUUAGGGUUUUGAAUUGGGAAGAAUUCAUUAGGGUUUUGAUGCUUGCAAUUUAUAUGAUGCGUAAAAUGAGUUCUGUGUUUCGGUGGAUGUUGUCGGAGUUACGCGGGUGGUGCAGCCAUGGAGAUUGUGGUGACUGACCUUAGAAUUGGCUUGGUCAAGUGGUGUCUGCGAAAUUCUUUUUGGGCCGGGAGUGAAUUUGGAUUGAUACAGUGGGAACCUAAUUGAUUGGGCCGCAGGCCUAGAGUUGAAUAUAAAUGAAACUAUUAAACUGCAACAAUAAGAAUGUCUAUUUGAACCGGGUUUGGAGUAUAGAAUUCGUGGUAAUGUGAUAUUAAAUAAUGAAGUUAAAUUGUAAAGAGAGAGAAGGUGGAUGCCUGAUAUUAAGUAAUAAAAUUAAAUUGUAAAGAGAGAGAAGAAAAUGGUAAUAAUAUUAAUUAUUAUUAUAAGGAGAAUUUUUUUAUUUAGUAAUUAAUUGGAAUCAAAUUAACUACUGGAAGAGAAAUUAAGAUAAAUUAAUUUGAAGUAAGAAGAAAAGUAAAUUAUUGGAAAUCAGAUUAAUUAACAUUAAAUAUUAUGGAAUUAGAAAUUAAUUGAGAAUGUAAUGAGACUUGAUUAAUUAAAAUAAUG